CUGUCCACGGACGCUGCCUCCUGAUCCUGCGCGAAGAUUGCCGCUUUGAACGAACAGUCCAGAGACAACAUCGCGAGGAGGAGAACAAACUUUCCUUCUCCAAACCGCCUCCACCCACCCACCGUGCCGCAAACCAAAGCAGCCCUUGGGAAAUUUUCUCUCCCUCCCCUCCUCUCCAUCCCAAGCGGCGGUAUGGAGGAAAUCCCAAGCAGGGCGGGCCCACUCGACCGGUGAGGCGGCCAUUGACGCGGCUGCCGGCGCGAUGGAGGACCUCGCUGCUCUCCUCUCCUCCAUGCCUCCAUGGGUGGCUCUGUGAGGCGGAAGAGGAACUGGGCGAUGUCCCCUGCUCCGUUCCCCUCCACAACAGCUCCGAAUCCCCGCAGGCGGCGAGGCAGCGACAAGAUCCACUGUCAUCUAUGACGACGCGGUGCGAGCUCAGCACCCUUCUCUCCUCCCUAAGCGGAUUUGCGACACGAAGGUGGAUAUGGGCACCGUCCCCUGCUCUGUUCCCCUCCAACUUCGGCGGUUCUUACCUGACCAGAGCGCAUAGGGCGUCGAUGCAGGCACGAACACCAGCAUCUGGAGGCGGGACUCUUCGAGAAGUCCGAGCACGAAGUGUACAGCCUUGGGCGUCUACUGAUGGCACGAUGAAUCGAUACCGUGGGUACUAGAUCCGAUAGGAAUGGAUGCAGGACACAUGAAUCGUCAGUCAGGUACUCUAUUGAUGUUUGACCCUAGCCCAUGUAUGGAAUGCAACAAGGGAGGAAUUCGUAGUCAUUUGCCGAAGUGUGCUUACCAGUAUUAUGGUCAUUUUCUGAUUAUGUACCAAACGAAUGUCUUGACAAAGUUCCAGAAAAUGCGGUUCAAUUAACUACUACUACUGUUACAUGUUUAUUGUCUCCUUCAGAAUUCAGACUUCUGCCCUUUUCAUUGACAUGCAUGUGAACUGAACUAUGCCUACAUGUCUGCAAAUCUGGUUGCCGGCAGAUGUUAACUUUUCUAAGUAGUACAUACAAUUUAUCUCUAAAUUAACUUAGCGUAUAUAAUUCUGUGUAAAUCACACCGGGGUGACCGAUGCAUGUGCAGCAACGGCGACAGGUUGGUCCCUGUAGGCACAUGAUCAACAUAGUUUGAAUUAUGUAACAACUAUGGGUGAUGUAAGUAAUACAGAUAGGGUUUUCCAAAUUAACUCUAUUGUUUCAUCCUGUUGAUAGAUGCACAAAUGAACAUUUCGUUUCCUUUUCAUAGUUAAAAAUUGAAUAUGACUAGCCUUUAAGAAACAUGGGUUGGUAGACUGUAGUUGGCAUAUGGUUCAAAUUUCUGCUGGAUUUCAGAUUCUGUUUUGUUCUUGGUAAGCUUUCAGCUUUCUGUAAUUUUAUCAUUAAAUUGGUUGCCAUCUUUUCUCUUAUGCUCUAUAACUGAAUGUACUUAGGCAGUUAGGCUUGAAACACAGAAUAUGAUGGUCUAUAUUCAGGUUGCUAUACAUGAUAAUCGCAGUUUCUACCAUGUAAGUAAUUCCAUGGUGAAAAUGAAGGGAAGGAUGCAACAAAUUUGCAAGCAUAUGCUCUCAGCUGAUGCCUAAAAUUUUGUCAGGAAAAUCAAGUUUGUGAUAUAAGAUUUCUGACACGCAACGCUUAAAAUUGGCAGUAUUGUUUUCAGGGUCGAUGGGUACCUUCAAACCUUGAAUGCUUGUCAUUGAGCAGGCAUGCCAUAUAUCGGUACACUAAUACUUCUAUCAUGGUAAAUAGAGGUGGAUGGGACAAACAAAAUUUCUCAUUUGUUAGCAGUAACUUUUAAUGUUAAGCCUCUUGAACGUACUAAGCACACUGUAUUGCUCAAAUCUUUGUGAGUUGAAAUUUAAACCAUACACUUAUUUCAAGGUAUGAAUGCACAUGUAGCUGUUGGUUCUAUGGUAAGCACUCUACAGUAGCAUACAUCUUUUUAAUGGAUGCGCUAUAAAAGAAAAACACCUUAGUAAAUGGCAUCUAAAGUGGCAGUAGUUUACACAACGCUUAGCACACAUCUUUUUAAUGGAUGUGCUAUAAAAGAAAAACACCUUAGUAAAUGGCAUCUAAAGUGGCAGUAGUUUACACAACGCUUAUUUCAGCGCUUCGCUGAAAGCUCAGGCCCUUGAGUUACUAUUCACAUGAAUAAUGAAGCUUUCUAAUUCUACGGUCUCUCCUGAAGAGCGGCAGGAUCUAGCGGUGUUUGCAUGGUGGGUUCUUGAUGCAGGAAUGGAUUUGUACCAAUGACUACAAAAGGGGGAAGCUGCUCCCCACCCUUGACAGGAUCUUUUUCAGCUCCACCAACCUUGAUGGACGCUUAUCCUUCCCCUGCAUGCCAGUGCCUUAUGUUGAACCAAAUCUUACAACUGUAAACUAGCCUGUCUCCUUACUUAAGCAGUCCGUACCGCCUACAUUUAGAAGCAACAUGGUUCCACACACUUCCACUGUCUUGGCAAAAAAUAAUACUUGCCCGUAGGAUUGUGUUAUAUAAUUCUGAU
Long non-coding RNA from Lolium rigidum, 2503 nucleotides. RefSeq lists it as uncharacterized. The record is from RefSeq and is a predicted model, not a curated record. The transcript has 3 exons. Lineage: Eukaryota; Viridiplantae; Streptophyta; Magnoliopsida; Poales; Poaceae.